Long non-coding RNA from Sander lucioperca (pikeperch), 3805 nucleotides. RefSeq lists it as uncharacterized. The record is from RefSeq and is a predicted model, not a curated record. NCBI's taxonomy places the organism in Eukaryota, Metazoa, Chordata, Actinopteri, Perciformes, Percidae. The transcript has 2 exons.
AUGUUCAAAACGGCGGCCAUGUGAAUAGAUAAAAACGGCCUUCUAAACCUACCAGUAGGUGUAGCAGGCCCCUUCUAACCUAUAUCUAUGAGGCUGAUAACCACUGAUAACAAUUCAUUCAAUCAAGUGAUAACAUUCAAAAUGAAACAAGCAGAGUAGCUACAUUCUGGUCUAAAGAAAUUACUUUGCGUCCAAGAAGAAAGAACUCUGUGGCUGAAACAUAAGUAAUAUUGCAUGAUAACGAUUUAGAUUUAGUGGAGAUAGAUCACAAAGAGAGUUAGGAAUGUAAAGUUUUAGCGGUAACCAUCAUAGAAGUUCCCCAUCUGUCUACAUCUAGCCUGCAGCUGCUGCCUGUAAAACACAAGUGAACAGAUAUGAUAUAAAGCAUUAAACAAGGUUUACAAAGAGCUGAUUGUUCAUUGUAGCAUUUGAAAGCUAAAAAAAAACAUUCCUCUCAAGGGUGGAGCAGCAUGGCAACAGUGUUAUGGCAUGCAUGCGGUGAAUGAUGGGUCUUCUAUGAUGGCUACAGCUGACCCUUGCAAGAAAAUGUUCUUCUCCAAUUGUUUGGAAGAGAGACAAAAUAUAUGCCCGCAUUGCCAGCAGGAUUAAAAGUGAUUAAUGCUUGUUUAUUAAAAAUUGAUUGUGUAAUAUUUCUCAUCAAAAGCUUCUUGUUCCCCCGUCUAAAACUGUUUGUGACAUUUUUGUAACUUUGGAGGCAAACGACUGAGCUAAAAGAUGGUAUAGUUGACAUAUUCAGCACCAAAAAUGUACGUUUUUGCAUUCACCUAUAUUUUGAUUGUGUCUGCCACAUGGAUGUUAAUUAUGUACUACUAUCAAUUGUAAUGUAAGUAGAGGCCUUAAACACACCGAUGUACAUUUAGUCAGGGCUAAGGACUGAGAAUUGUCACAAAGUAAAUCAAAAUGACGCAAAAAAAAGUUUUACAGUGUCACCAUUUUAACCCAUCACCGAAAGUGAUGACGUUAAUGAAUUUCUGAUAUACUGAUAUUAUAACUGACUAUUUGUGUAUUCUCCCCACUCCUUGGUGUGGGCUUAAUUCAACAAACUGAGCAACAACAAAAAAACAUUUUUGCGGAGUAGAUACUCAAACAUUCUGACCUGUUUCUUAACAAGACCUAUUUUCUAAACUUAGAAAAAGUACACUGUUGUUUCUUUAUUGAUCUUUCAAUGCAUAUAAUGGGACUUUUUAAUUGAGUAGAGUCAAAUGAAAACAACAAAAGAACAUUCUUAAUCUAGCCAUGUGCACCAUCUGUAAGAAUUGUACUAGAGUCCAGAUGAGGUACUUUUAGGUUGACAUUCUGCAAAACCAGACCAUUAUCCAUUAGUACUACUAUAUCAUCUGGCACCAUAAGGGGCCAUUGCCCAAUAUAUAUAGAGAAAGCGCUAUAGGGACAGUUGUGUUUCAUACAGUAUAUUGAGCUAAAUGCGUGUUCAGCUGUUCAACUUUUAGAUGCAAAACAAAGGUAACAUGUCGUCUCUGACAAUGCAAUUCAAUGAUGGAUAGCCUUUUUCUUAAUAUGGAAACAUCUGUAACUUUGAGUGUUUGCAUUCCAACCCUCUGGCUAUAUUUACUUGUGUACAAAAUUGUAACUAUUGUAAGUUGUCUGAUUUAAAAAACAAAAACAAAAAAAACAGUAGCAUUUACAUGGUUUGAAGCAGGUGUACCAUUGGUUCCAAAAGUAUUUUUCCUCACUGUAAAUGAAUUUAAACAUUAAUUUUUAAGGACAACAGAAAAUAUGUUAAGGCAAUCAAAACCCUUUGACUUUCAGGCUUCCUUGGGUUUCCACAGGUUUGGGCCAGUAAAGCCGAGCUGGCUGACUUCUUGUUGCCUCUGUGCACACGAGAAAGGCAUGAACAUAAGUUACUGACGCAGCUUUUAGAGAUUUUAAAAUUUUAUUUGACCCAAAAGGCUCAAAUUCUGAAUAACAAGAGUUUUUGUUACUGCCAUUAAACCAGUGCACAACUGAGUAGUUUAUUCCCGGAGCAAUGCAUCGUUUUUGUUAUUAAAGCCCCGGUAGCUUAUUGCAGGUGAAAAGGUGAUUGUAACCUUUUUCUUCAUUUAGAUUGAAGUUAUUAGACAACAACAGUGCCUCUGGUUCUCGAUGGAAUCAUGAACAAGAAGCACAUUUGCUUCUCUUCACGUUGUCACUUUUGCCACAUUUGCAUAAAUUGCAUAAAUUGCAUAAAGUAAACUUCACAACAAUUUGCAUCCUGUUGCAUCUCCAGUAAUUUUGUUAAUGUGUAUGAUUCACAUUACUGUCCUUACUGCAAUACAACUACAUUUUUGUGCGCAUAUAUGUGUGGUUAUUGUUGGUGUAAUCUGAGCCAACCUUGAUGCAAAAUGGCAGAAAAGUUUACUUUUUAAAGUUGUGUUGAGUUUAGGGAUGGCAUAUUUGUUAACCCUGAUUAUUCGCACAAAGAGUGUGCAGGCAAGGCAGGGAAGUUCCUGUCUGUUUUUGCAGAAUAUCAACCUAAGAAGUAUAUCUGGGUAGAAUUCCAUUUGAAGUUCUUCAGUUCCUUCUGAUACCGGAGCUUAAUUCGUCCAUAUCUCUUUCCUUUUCAAGUACAUGGGUUUUACUGAUUAGAAAUUACGAGAGCACUAUUUGUGUCCUUUUCUUUUAGAGUGACAGUGUGUACAUAUCUAGACACAUAUCAUAUCAUGUUCUCUCCGGGGUGAAGAGAUGGAGGAGUGGGAGGAUGAAAGGGUAGAUGCAGCUCCUCUGCGGCUGUUACGAAACGGUGGUGGUGGAUCCCAAAAGCAAUACAUCUCCUCCAGUCUGCUGUGCUGCAGAGGCAGUGGUUCCCAAAAUGUUUCCCUCAGAGGCCUUCGUCAACCCAAACCUCAUAAAAAUGUCCCUCUACAUGCCAUCUGGUAGAUCCUCUCAUUCAAAGCGUCCCACAUUACCACGUGUGAAAACAUUUUUAGGUUGGGUAACCCCUGUGGGUCAAAGUGCCACAUCAAAGUUGUGUUUCUCAACAUCAUUCCAUGUUAAAUUACCUCUCACCUAUGAGUUCACAUUUCAGUCACACAUUGCUGGUCAUGCAUUAUUGGUGUCAACUCAUUUGGGCUCCAAUCCAAAAUCUUCUAAAUAAAUCCUCCUUUUAUUUCUGUCAUGCCGGUUAAUGAUACAAAGUAAUUUUAAAAAACAGCAUUCACAGCCUUAAAUUCUCAUCCCUAAACCAUCCGAAGGCCCCUAAAAUAUAAGAAGGUGAUGUUUUGGUUUUGGGAUGCUAGAUGAGACAGUUUUACAGGCCUUCUCAUGCUGUCAGGAACAUGUGAUAUGGGCAACUUUUGGAAGCAAUGCUGAUGGAAAAUCAAUUUUCCUCAGUGAUAAGAAUGCAUCCAGAAAAGAUUUACUGUGUUUUAUUUUCCUCUGGUUAAACACAUUCAUCUCUUCAGUCUUUGAGUAUAGCUUCAUUGGAGCGACUACUGACUGACUUGAUCACCUAAUUUAAGGAUCUCAAACUACAAUUUACAAGUAUAUUGUAAUUUCUUAAAGUUUUCAAUACUUUUCAUCCCAUCUGUAGAUUUGCGGCACCAGCUAAUGUUAGCAAAGCAUUAAGCAGCCAUCGCCCAUCUGCGUUGCUUUCCAUUUGUUGCUCGUGUAUUACUGCCUUGAGGACCUGAAUGUUAUCAGAAGAGUGGCAAAGUGGUGUAACUAUAGUUUUAUUCACCGCACUGUCAUUUGCAGAUUCUUUGGCUAACUGUUAUAUUGUUGAGUAAAUGCACAAUUUGGUGUAUUGUUAUUCUAUUCCAGCUGUCAAUAAAAUAGUUUAACUCCAUCA